UACGUAGGGACCAAGCGUUGUUCGGAUUUACUGGGCGUAAAGGGCGCGUAGGCGGCGUGACAAGUCACUUGUGAAAUCUCUGAGCUUAACUCAGAACGGCCAAGUGAAACUGUUGUGCUAGAGUGCGGAAGGGGCAAUCGGAAUUCUUGGUGUAGCGGUGAAAUGCGUAGAUAUCGAGAGGAACACCUGAGGUGAAGGCGGGUUGCUGGGCCGACACUGACGCUGAUGCGCGAAAGCCAGGGGAGCAAACGGG
This 253-nucleotide ribosomal RNA is filed under the name uncultured bacterium. Its description in RNAcentral is "partial 16S ribosomal RNA". It matches the Rfam family "Bacterial small subunit ribosomal RNA", at positions 524 to 776 of the family's 1533-position model. The record is from RNAcentral.